This 518-nucleotide long non-coding RNA is filed under the name Chrysemys picta bellii (western painted turtle). RNAcentral describes it as "lncRNA (ENSCPBG00000005064.1)". Lineage: Eukaryota; Metazoa; Chordata; Testudines; Emydidae. The record is from RNAcentral.
CCAUUCUCCAUCCCUUACCCAUGCUAUGCGCGGCUAGAGAACAUUCAGGUAUCGUCAAUGUAACAUUGUGUUUUUGUAGCCGGAAGAAGUUUCCAAAAUCAAAGCCAACUUCUACCGUUAGGGGAGACAUAAAUAUGGUGGAGCUGGCGAAGCAGGCUGAGGACGGUGACCCAGUCGGACUCAAAGACGAUCCAUCUUUCUCCAAGAUCCAGACAUUCAUGGCGUGGAUGGUCCUACUCAUUUUCCUGAUUGCGAUCGGAGGAUUGAGCGCCACCAUAUUUGUUUUCACACGUGAGUAGAAAGGGCCCAGGCUGGCUCCCUCUCCGCGACUCGGUUACACAUUCUGUCCUCCCAAGUCUCUUUUCCCUUUCCCAUGCAAGGCCAGAUCCUGGCCCCCUUUGAGCUACUCCAGGAGCAUAACCGGGAUGGAAACUAACAUCUCCCUAACUAGGAAUUCCCCUGCUAUAGGGGAGAUCCCUACUAGCGUAGACAACCCUGGCAUAGGGAAUGUCAUGACA